RNAcentral lists this ribosomal RNA (253 nucleotides) under uncultured bacterium. RNAcentral describes it as "partial 16S ribosomal RNA". It matches the Rfam family "Bacterial small subunit ribosomal RNA", at positions 524 to 776 of the family's 1533-position model. The record is from RNAcentral.
UACAGAGGGCGCAAGCGUUGUUCGGAAUUAUUGGGCGUAAAGGGCUCGUAGGCGGCCAACUAAGUCGGACGUGAAAUCCCUCGGCUUAACCGGGGAACUGCGUCCGAUACUGGAUGGCUUGAGUGUGGGAGAGGGAUGCGGAAUUCCAGGUGUAGCGGUGAAAUGCGUAGAUAUCUGGAGGAACACCGGUGGCGAAGGCGGCAUCCUGGACCACGACUGACGCUGAUGAGCGAAAGCCAGGGGAGCAAACGGG